CUCGCAGAACCUUCCCUUCGUCGUCGUCGGGGAUCAACUGGGUCGGCAGAACUUCGAUCACGGCGUCAGCGUACUGCUUCUGCGGAUCUGCCGCCACACCAACAAGCGACCUUCGAUGACAAAGAUCUUGGGCGGCGUGAUAAGCUCCGGCGGGUCGAGGAGGCCGGUGACGUGGUUGUAGAUGGGCUUCUGGACCGCCUGGCCUUGCUUGAUCGCCUUCACCUGCUCGUACAUGAGGUCGAAGUUGUUGGCCCUCGGGUCGAGCGCGGUGACGCCCUUCUCCUUCCUGCCGGUCCUGUCCAGGGAGUGGUAGUCGUCGAGGCAUAUCACGGUCGUGGUGUCGCUGAUGAGCGUGUUGGAGUCCGGGUUCCCGCCCCUGGGCGGCUCCGCGGCGCCGCCGAAGACGCUGGUGAGCCGGCGCAUGAAGGUGCUCUUGCCGCACCCGGAGUCCGCCGCCAGGCCGAUCACCACUGGCUUGUUGCCGUCGGCGGAGCACGAGACCUGGAGUAAGGUCCUGCUCACCCCUCCUCCACGCCUUCUGCUGCCGCUCCUCCUGUUGAUGCUGGUCAAGAAGAUGACUUGCUUCUGCACCAAGCCAGCUGCCGCGUUCGAGACGGUCGUCGUGCAUGGGGAGCGCAGGGAGAUGGUGGUGGUGUGCGCGCUGCAGAUCGCCAUCAUGCCGGCGGCUGCGUUUGUCUUGUCUUCUUCCCCCCCGGCCGGCCCAAGAGUCCAAGCCUUGUGUGGGUGGCAGGGACCUUGGAGAGGAGAAGAGAGGGAGAACGGGAUGGUGGGUGUGGACUGUGGAGCUACGAGAUAACAGGACGAAAUGAGGAUGGCGA
RNAcentral lists this unclassified non-coding RNA (839 nucleotides) under Zea mays. RNAcentral's name for it is "misc RNA Zm00001eb188130". Lineage: Eukaryota; Viridiplantae; Streptophyta; Magnoliopsida; Poales; Poaceae. The record is from RNAcentral.